UGGGGAAUAUUGCACAAUGGGCGCAAGCCUGAUGCAGCCAUGCCGCGUGUGUGAAGAAGGCCUUCGGGUUGUAAAGCACUUUCAGCGAGGAGGAAGGUGGUGAGCUUAAUACGCUCAUCAAUUGACGUUACUCGCAGAAGAAGCACCGGCUAACUCCGUGCCAGCAGCCGCGGUAAUACGGAGGGUGCAAGCGUUAAUCGGAAUUACUGGGCGUAAAGCGCACGCAGGCGGUUUGUUAAGUCAGAUGUGAAAUCCCCGGGCUCAACCUGGGAACUGCAUUUGAAACUGGCAAGCUAGAGUCUCGUAGAGGGGGGUAGAAUUCCAGGUGUAGCGGUGAAAUGCGUAGAGAUCUGGAGGAAUACCGGUGGCGAAAGGCGGCCCCCCUGGACGAAGACUGACGCUCAGGUGCGAAAAGCGUGGGGAGCAAAACAGGAUUAGAUACCCUGGUAGUCCACGCUGUAAAACGAUGUCGAUUUUGGAGGUUGUGCCCCUUGAGGCGUGGCUUCCGGAGCUAACGCGUUAAAUCGACCGCC
RNAcentral lists this ribosomal RNA (533 nucleotides) under uncultured bacterium. RNAcentral describes it as "partial 16S ribosomal RNA". It matches the Rfam family "Bacterial small subunit ribosomal RNA", at positions 355 to 873 of the family's 1533-position model. The record is from RNAcentral.